RNAcentral lists this ribosomal RNA (2010 nucleotides) under Triticum aestivum (bread wheat). RNAcentral's name for it is "partial small subunit ribosomal RNA". The record is from RNAcentral. Lineage: Eukaryota; Viridiplantae; Streptophyta; Magnoliopsida; Poales; Poaceae.
AUGGUGGUGAACAACAAGGUUGAGACCCUGGCGUUCGACCUGGAGGCGGGGCACGGGCCCGGGGCGAAGGCGGUGGCGGAUUCGGGGGCGCGUCAGCAGCAGCAGCGGCAGGCGGCGCCGGCGGGGAUGGUGCAGGUGGAGCUGCACAAGGUGUCGGCGCCGGAGCAGCGGACGACGGCGCGGGCGCUGGGGCAGCGGCUGGCGGAGAUCUUCUUCCCCGACGACCCCCUGCACCAGUUCAAGAACCAGUCGCUCGCCCGGAAGCUGGUGCUCGCGCUGCAGUACUUCUUCCCCAUCUUCCACUGGGGCUCCAACUACAGCCUCCGCCUCCUCCGCUCCGACGCCGUCGCCGGCCUCACCAUUGCCAGCCUCGCCAUCCCACAGGGCAUCAGCUACGCCAAGCUCGCCAACCUGCCGCCCAUCAUCGGCCUAUAUUCGAGCUUCGUGCCGCCGUUGAUCUACGCGCUGCUGGGGAGCUCGCGGGACCUGGCGGUGGGGCCUGUAUCCAUCGCGUCGCUGGUGAUGGGGUCCAUGCUCCGGGAGGCGGUGGCGCCGGAGCAGCAGCCCAUCCUGUACCUGCAGCUGGCCUUCACCGCCACCUUCUUCGCCGGCGUCUUCCAGGCCUCGCUGGGCUUCCUCCGCCUCGGGUUCAUCGUCGACUUCCUCUCCAAGGCCACGCUCACCGGGUUCAUGGGCGGCGCCGCCGUCAUCGUGUCCCUGCAGCAGCUCAAGGGCCUCCUCGGCAUCGUCCACUUCACCACCCACAUGGGCUUCGUCGACGUCAUGGCCUCCGUCGUCCGCCGCCACAGCGAGUGGCAGUGGCAGACCAUCGUCAUGGGCGUCGCCUUCCUCGCCAUCCUCCUCGGCACACGCCAAAUCAGCGCUCGGAAUCCACGGCUUUUCUGGGUGUCGGCGGCGGCUCCCCUGACGUCGGUGAUUGCCUCCACCGUCAUCUCCUACCUCUGCAGAGGCCACGGCAUCAGCAUCAUCGGCGACCUCCCGAGGGGAGUGAACCCUCCAUCCAUGAACAUGCUCGUCUUCAGCGGCUCCUACGUCGCCCUGGCCGUCAAGACCGGGAUCAUGACCGGCAUCCUGUCCCUCACCGAGGGGAUCGCGGUGGGCCGGACGUUCGCGUCGAUCAACAACUACAACGUGGACGGGAACAAGGAGAUGAUGGCGAUCGGGGUGAUGAACAUGGCGGGGUCCUGCGCCUCCUGCUACGUCACCACGGGCUCCUUCUCCCGCUCCGCCGUCAACUACAGCGCCGGGUGCCGGACGGCGGUGUCGAACAUCGUCAUGGCCUCCGCCGUCCUGGUGACGCUGCUCUUCCUGAUGCCGCUGUUCCACUACACCCCGAACGUGAUCCUGUCGGCCAUCAUCAUCACCGCCGUGGCCGGGCUGAUCGACGUCCGCGGCGCCGCCAAGCUGUGGAAGGUGGACAAGCUGGACUUCUGCGCGUGCGUGUCCGCCUUCCUCGGCGUGCUCCUCGUGUCCGUCCAGGUCGGGCUGUCGAUCGCCGUGGGCAUCUCGCUGUUCAAGAUCCUGCUGCAGGUGACCCGGCCCAACACCGUCGUCAUGGGGCUGGUCCCCGGCACGCAGAGCUACCGCAGCAUGGCGCAGUACCGCGAGGCCGUGCGCGUGCCGCCGUUCCUCGUCGUCGGCGUCGAGUCGGCCAUCUACUUCGCCAACUCCACCUACCUGGUGGAGCGGAUCAUGCGGUACCUCCGAGAGGAGGAGGAGCGCGCCGCCAAGGCCAACCUCUGCGGCGUCCGCUGCAUCGUCCUCGACAUGAGCGCGGUGACGGCGAUCGACACGAGCGGGCUGGACGCGCUGGCGGAGAUGAAGCGGGUGCUGGACAAGCGGGGCAUCGACCUGGUGCUGGCGAACCCGGUGGGGUCGGUGACGGAGAGGAUGUACAACUCGGUGGUGGGGGACACGUUCGGGUCGGACCGCAUCUUCUUCAGCGUCGCCGAGGCCGUCGCGGCGGCGCCGUACAAGGCGCAGCCCUGA